UACUUAGCAGAGACGCACGUUGAUGGGCUUCAGAGACAAGUGAAGCUCAUCCUCCAGUUGCCUCCCACACUCACCAACUCGCCGAGGUUUAUAUAUAUCUUAGCAUCCUGUCUGGUACUCUCAUCCAUGGAAUAAAGACACGAGUAGUUAGAGCUUCAAACUCAAGGAAAAGCCAUGGGUGUCUUGACUCUGGUUCAUAUCCUUGUCAGCUUUGCUGCCUGUGCCGAGGCCAUAAGGAGAGCCGACUUCCCCCCUGGUUUUACCUUUGGGACUGCUUCCUCAGCUUACCAGUACGAGGGUGCUGUCAAUGAGGGUCAGCGUGGACCUACGAUAUGGGAUACUCUCGCAAGUCGACCCGGGAGGGUGAUAGAUUUCAGCAAUGCAGACGUUGCCGUUGAUCACUACCAUCGUUACAAGGAAGAUGUUGACUUAAUGAAGGAUAUUGGUGUGGAUGCAUACCGGUUCUCUAUCUCAUGGGCACGCAUCUUCCCAAAUGGAACAGGCAAGCCUAAUGAAGAAGGGUUGAGUUACUAUAACAGCCUCAUAGAUGUUCUAUUAGAAAAAGGUAUACAACCAUAUGUAACACUAUUCCAUUGGGACCUUCCACAAGCACUGGAGGAUAAAUAUGGUGGCUGGUUAAACUCACAAAUCGUGGAGGAUUUUGUUCACUAUGCCUCUACUUGCUUCAAGGAGUUCGGAGAUAGAGUGAAGCACUGGAUCACCGUUAAUGAGCCCCAUAACUUUGCAAUUGACGGCUAUGAUUUUGGCAUCCAAGCACCUGGGAGGUGUUCCAUUAUAUCUCAUUUGUUCUGCAAGGAGGGUACAUCAUCAACUGAACCCUAUAUUGUGGCUCACAACAUACUCUUAGCUCAUGCUGGUGUUUUUCAUGCUUACAAACAACAUUUCAAGAAAGAACAAGGAGGCCUCAUAGGAAUUGCACUGGACUCCAAGUGGUAUGAACCAUUGUCGGAUGUCGAUGAAGACAGAGAAGCAGCAGCACGAGCUAUGGACUUUGAGCUUGGAUGGUUCUUGGAUCCGUUAAUGUUUGGCCGCUACCCAGCUUCUAUGCAGAAACUUGUAGGCGACAGACUGCCCCAGUUUUCAAACCAGGAAUCACAGUUAGUAUCUGGGUCACUAGAUUUUGUAGGCAUAAACCACUACACAACAUUAUAUGCUAGGAACGACAGGAUGCGGGUAAGGAAACUUGUGAUGAAUGAUGCUUCAACCGAUGCUGCUGUCAUCGCAACUGCUUACAGGCAUGGAAAGAAAAUAGGAGAAACGGCAGCGUCGAAUUGGCUGCACAUAGUUCCCUGGGGCAUGUUCAGCCUGAUGAAACAUGUUAAGGAGAAGUAUGGGAAUCCACCCGUGUUCAUUACAGAGAAUGGCAUGGACGACGCAAACAGCCGGUUCUCAAGGUUGGAAAAUGUCCUGCAGGACGAUAAGAGGAUACAGUACCACAACGACUACAUGUCCAACCUCCUGGAUGCUAUAAGGAAGGAAGGGUGCAAUAUCCUCGGCUACUUCGUGUGGUCGCUGCUGGACAACUGGGAGUGGAACUCGGGGUACACGGUGCGGUUCGGCCUCUACUACAUCGACUACAACAACAACCUGACGAGGAUACCCAAGGCGUCCGUCGAGUGGUUCACCCAGGUUCUAGCCCGGAACCAGAAGACAGCUGCCGUCAUGUAGAUAACAAACAGUAGAGUGAUUCUUCAGUCACCAUUUCAACUCUGCAUAUUGCACAUGUACUGCACAUACCUUAGGAGCAAAAUGUCACCUACACGACCAUCUACCGCGCCGUCGAACGUGUCCAACGAUGUUACAGAGAUCAGCAAGAAGUGAGAUGUGCUCCGUCCGAAGGAAGAGCAUACUGUGAUUGGAGCUGCAGAGCAGGACGAUUCGCUGUGCCUGUGCAGACGAAGACAAAUCCUGAAAAGUUUAAGACGCCGUCCGUUGGGGGCCAUGCCGCAUGGCCCCGGCAACUUCAGGUCUUGAGUUCAGCUUCAGCAAUGGUCCCUCUCCCCUGAAAUUUCGAGCUAUUCCCCUCUCCUCUUCCCCAUGUAAUUUCCAGGUCCAAGCUUUGUGCCUGCGAGUAAAACGCCGAGCUGCAGCUGCCUCGGGAUGAUUGAUCUGGAGACGCAGUUUCACCUGAGCUUCACCUGCCCGGCCCGCCUGCCCGACCUCUUCUCUUGGAUGCUACCAAAACGCCUUUCGGGCGCCAUGUGCCACGCCGCAGCUCACGCAUUUUCCUCCGGAUUCCCUCGGAAACCCAACUGUUCUCCCCAGCAGAAUGCCCGAGUUUCCCCAACGGGUCCUCGAUGCAUGCCUGAAUUUCCCCCAAAGCUUCCAGCAGAAUUUCCCGCACUUCCCCGACGUGGAGGCCUUGACGUGGGUGCUUUUUGCUCUGGUUUUGUUUGUUGGUGAAUCAGUUGCCAACAUGGCAACGUGCUUCCAACACAUCGUGCUCAUCAUUGGUGGGAGGAAGGACGCGAAAGCGACGGCCUAUGCAGAAAUGAUAAUUGGGGAAGAAGAAGACACGAUGAGGAGGAAGAAAUCACACAUGGAGAAUGCGUCCGGGGACGGGAUGUGAAAGGAGGUGGGCAGCGACAACGAGGGCAGGUAGCACGAGUGAACUUGUCGCCGGGCGCUCAUAUGAUAUGUGUCAGCGUGUGGGGCAAAGAGGAGCGGAAACCACAGAAAAGUGUGUGUGGCCAGCCAGCCAUCAAAAGCUAUCCAGGCCCCGGGAGCCAAGUACUGCAAUGAACAUGCCGUACACGAGACUCGAGACGGAGACGAGAUUCCCCGCGUCGAAGCAGGAAUUCGCGGCUUUGCGUGGCUUUGCUCGAUGAGUUGCUACUGUAGUGCAAAAGCUGAACAGGGUUCCUCUGGCGGUUCUCCCCGGCCGUGCCGGCGUGCUCCAUGUGGGUUUCUCCGGUUUCUGAGUUUUGAUCCAAGGUUCCAUGGAAACUUUGGGUAGAGGCCGGUGGAAUUCCUUGGCUUUUACAGCACGGUGACCACCGUAGACAACCAGAUAGGAAACUUCUUGUGGAUAAGAUAACUGUGUAGUGAGAACGGAGUACAUGGUGAGAGACCGAGCUGAUUCGUACUCAUACGUCCAAUGUUUUGUUUCCUGA
This is an RNA transcript of Triticum aestivum (bread wheat), 3134 nucleotides long. It is a transcript of the gene named beta-glucosidase 25, with no coding region annotated. NCBI's taxonomy places the organism in Eukaryota, Viridiplantae, Streptophyta, Magnoliopsida, Poales, Poaceae. The transcript has 14 exons. The record is from RefSeq and is a predicted model, not a curated record.